CCUACGGGCUGCAGCAGUGAGGAAUAUUGGUCAAUGGACGCAAGUCUGAACCAGCCAUGCCGCGUGCAGGAAGACGGCUCUAUGAGUUGUAAACUGCUUUUGUACGAGGGUAAACGCAGAUACGCGUAUCUGUCUGAAAGUAUCGUACUAAUAAGGAUCGGCUAACUCCGUGCCAGCAGCCGCGGUAAUACGGAGGAUUCAAGCGUUAUCCGGAUUUAUUGGGUUUAAAGGGUGCGUAGGCGGUCGGAUAAGUUAGAGGUGAAAUCCCGAGGCCCAACAUCGGAAUUGCCUCUGAUACUGUUAGGCUAGAGAGUAGUGGCGGUAGGCGGAAUGUAUGGUGUAGCGGUGAAAUGCUUAGAGAUCAUACAGAACACCGAUUGCGAAGGCAGCUUACCAAGCUACUUCUGACGUUGAGGCACGAAAGCGUGGGGAGCAAACAGGAUUAGAUACCCGAGUAGUC
This 460-nucleotide ribosomal RNA is filed under the name uncultured bacterium. Its description in RNAcentral is "partial 16S ribosomal RNA". It matches the Rfam family "Bacterial small subunit ribosomal RNA", at positions 338 to 795 of the family's 1533-position model. The record is from RNAcentral.